Long non-coding RNA from Drosophila innubila, 536 nucleotides. RefSeq lists it as uncharacterized. The transcript is spliced from 2 exons. Lineage: Eukaryota; Metazoa; Arthropoda; Insecta; Diptera; Drosophilidae. The record is from RefSeq and is a predicted model, not a curated record.
UUUGUGUCCCGCUUUCGCAGCGUUCGCCUCGUUAAAUUUGGAACCGCUCGGACGCAACGUCGUCGUGUGCUCAUUUUGUUGCUAUUUCCUUUAGUCGUACGAUCUAGCGCCUAUCGCGCUGUGUGCUCAAUUUCUUGUGCCGUAAAAUAAAACCACUUAAUUUCAUAUGUGCAAUUAUUUAACUUAAACCUCCUGUGUUAAGUUGCUAGGCUUAAUUUAAUACACACACACACACAUAUAACCACCAAACUUCAAGUUUAUAAGAAAAAGAACAAAAGCAAGAGAAAUAUUGCAUUGUGACAAAGUUCCAAGUGCAGCGACGCUGACGUUGACGCUGGCGCUCCGUCGGCUGUAUGUGUGUCUUAAUUUUGUGCUUCCUGUGGAGAGCAGACAACAACAAACAACAGCAAUAAAAUAUAAAAGCAACAAGUGGAAGCAGCAGCAACUACAACAACCACAACAAUAACAACAGCAACAGAUUUGUUCAAAAGCCGGCUGCGCAGUGAGAAGAGAGCGCCGCAAAGUAAGGAACCAAA